UAAACACGCACUACUGAAGCCACAUGGACAGCGCCGUCUUGUGGAAAUUUUUACAUAACUGUGGUUGCUUAUGAUGAGGCUCAGCAGAGAAGCGAUGUUGUUUGUUCAGAUGAUGUGGAGACGUGCAAACCAUCUCCUGUCCAAAGUAGUUCAUUGAUCGGACGAAAUCUUGUACUGGUGGUGUCGGCUACAGCGUCCGCUGUCGUUGCAGUUGCCGGCAUUGUCGUUGGAGUUGUUGUCUGGAGGAGGAAACGAAGAGGCCAACCGAAGACCUCUGACCAAACUGUGUACUACAACACAGGGCCAUCUGAUAACGCUAAGUCUACAGAGACAAAACCUGAAGACACGACGUAUGACAAACUGGAUGUCAACGCACGCGAUGGAGGAGCUGGUCAAGAACCAUACUGUUCUAUACAAACUUGUUGGUCGGACAAAACAAACAUAUAUGAAGCUGUUGAAAAUCAGAUGUACCUGAACAUUGGCGAACGACCGCCUGUUACCUUGAACAGUAAAUCAAGUGACAUAUACGAAAAAUUCUGAAUAUCACAUUACAUCAGUCGCACAUAACUCAUAUGCGUAAACAUUUUUAAGAAAUAUAGAAAUCUUUUAUAAAAAAACUAAACC
This is an RNA transcript of Haliotis rubra (blacklip abalone), 624 nucleotides long. RefSeq lists it as uncharacterized. The record is from RefSeq and is a predicted model, not a curated record. NCBI's taxonomy places the organism in Eukaryota, Metazoa, Mollusca, Gastropoda, Lepetellida, Haliotidae. The transcript is spliced from 3 exons.